This is a non-coding RNA of Prunus mume (Japanese apricot), 192 nucleotides long. The record is from RefSeq and is a predicted model, not a curated record. Lineage: Eukaryota; Viridiplantae; Streptophyta; Magnoliopsida; Rosales; Rosaceae.
UCUUGCUAGAGAAAGCCUCAUCAAUGCAGGUGGAAUCAUCGAGGGCUGCUUCUCACCUGAAAAGUACUCCAUUGAGCUCAGUUCUGCUGCUUAUGAGCAGCUCUGGCGCUUUGACAUGGAAGCUUUGCCAGCUGAUCUCAUCAGAAGGGGAAUGGCAGUUGAGGAUCCUACAGCUGAGCAUGGCUUGAAGCU